AUUUAAUAAUAAUAUUGUAUUUAUGUUUAUAUUUUUAAUCGGAUUGUUAUUUAUGUGGUGUAUGGAUUGAACUAACUAAUCCAAUGACGGAGGUUUGACACGACCAUAAACACGAAUUGUGACCCCUUCCUACAUGGCGGCCGGAUCCCUCAGAAACGGGUGGGUGAUUUAAGUUCUAUUGUUUAUAAAUUAUAAUGAUCGUAAAGGAAGGAAUUGGGAAUCUAUAUAAGAUGAGUUGACAGCAAGCCUGGGAAGAAGCGGAUACCCAAAAAUAGUCAUCAUGGCAGCAGCAGCAGCUGGGCGGUUCAUGGAUCUAGAUUUAAGGAAGGGCCACCUCGGAAGCUCACCGCACCCUACCAGCCACUCGCUUCAUGUAUUCCAUCAAGUUGUGAAACGGGCGCAGAGGUAUGAGUCGUGUUCACUGUCGAUGAAUGGUUGCCAAGGAGACCCCAAAAUUCCCAUUGGAACCAUCCAGACUCGGACGUUUCCAGGCGUUUCAACGCACUCACUCGCCCUCGACACCCUCAGCUCCGCCAUCUCCCACUUGAAAUCCGACCCACCUCCCUUCACCUCCGGGAUUCUACGUCUCCAGGUCCCAAUUCAACAGAAAAUUGAAGCAAUUGAUUGGCUCCACGCUCAACAAGAGCUUCUUCCCCGCUGUUUCUUCUCCAGUAGAAGCCAAAGUAGCAGUUUUGAUCCAUUCAUAGACUCCGUCAACGGAGAUGGCAACGGUUUAGAGGACCACGAUUUGGUUAGGGUCGCCGGCAUCGGCGCUGCAGUGUUCUUCCGACAUAUUCAUCCAUUCUCAUUGGACGAUUGGAAGUCCAUAAAGAGGUUUCUUUCCAAGAAAUGCCCUUUAAUUCGUGCAUACGGGGCUAUUCGGUUUGAUCCAAGAGCUAAUGUAUCAUCUGAAUGGAGGGCUUUUGGUUCAUUCUACUUUGUGGUUCCUCAGGUGGAGUUUAAUGAGCUUGAAGGAAGUUCAGUUCUUGCUACAACUAUUGCAUGGGAUAAUGCCCUUUCAUGGACAUGGGAAAAGGCAAUUGGUGCACUUCAAGCUACAAUGUGCCAGGUUUCUUCUAUUGUUGGGAAGUUGAGGAAAGAAGUUUGUAAAACAUUUGUCCUCAGCAAUAGUCAUGUUCCUAGUAAGGCAUCUUGGAAUCUUGCUGUUAAUAGAGCUUUGCAGAUAAUUGGCAGAGCUGACUCACCCCUCAUUAAGGUGGUACUUGCACGUAGCAGCAGGGUUGUGACUACUUCUCAUAUUGACCCUAUAGCAUGGUUGGCUUGUUUACAGGUUGAGGGACAAAAUGCUUACCAGUUCUUUCUUCAGCCACCUGAUGCACCAGCAUUUAUUGGGAACACUCCAGAGCAACUAUUUCACCGAAAACGGCUUUGCAUCCACAGUGAGGCUUUGGCUGGAACCCGUGCUAGAGGUGGAUCAAAGGCUCAGGAUCUUCAAAUAGAACUUGAUUUACUUUCAAGUCCCAAGGAAGACUUUGAGUUUUCUAUUGUACGAGAGAGCAUACAAAGAAAGCUGGAGGCCAUAUGCAGCACGGUGUGGGUUGAACCAAAGAAAGCAAUUCGAAAACUCCCCAGAAUUCAACAUCUAUAUGCCCAAUUGUCAGGACGAUUGAGAAGUGAAGAUGAUGAGUUUGACAUCUUGUCUUCUCUUCACCCAACUCCAGCAGUUUGUGGGUUUCCUAGAGAAGAAGCACGGCUUUUAAUCGCUGAAACUGAAAUGUUUGACCGAGGAAUGUUUGCCGGUCCAGUUGGAUGGUUUGGUGGAGGAGAGACUGAGUUUGCAGUUGGGAUCAGGUCAGCCUUAGUGGAGAAGGGUCUUGGUGGAUUAAUCUAUGCUGGAACUGGGAUAGUUAGAGGAAGCAAUUCAUCUUUAGAGUGGGAGGAGCUGGAGCUCAAGAUAUCUCAGUUCACCAAACCAAUAAAAGUUGAGGUGCCUCUCUCCUGAUACAAGGACGUGAUAACACAGGCAGAAUCACCUAAAAGGAAUCUAAAAAGAGGGCCAGUGUUGGAUUGACAUUACUCAAUUAAUCGAUCUGAGUAUUUGCCCUAGUAUUAACUUGCAGAAGUCAGAUGUCACCACCUAGCAAAGCAGGGGCUAUCUGGCGAGAUGAAUUUGUUUGGGACUAUUUCUUGUACUGCCGGGGAGUUGGAUGAAAAUAAAUUUUCUGUAUUUAAUACACUCCACUUUGCUCAACUUGUUAUAUCAUCCUUGGUAUUUCCUCAGAACAGGUCUUCCUUUGUAUCAUUCUAGACUCUCAAUUGGCAAUAUAAAUCUGAUUGUUGACUGAUCCUAUGUGCUUUACUGAUGUUGUCCAUGAGAUAUUUGAUCCCUCAACAUUAUUCUUCAAUUAUUCUAUAUUCACAAAUGGAAUGAAAAUACAGUAUAUCAAUUUACAGGCAGUAUAUAUCAACAGGGAAAGUUGAACAAAUGAUCAACUGAUUCAUUUGUACCUUUCUGGAAAUUCCUGUGCUUCUUCCUGGUGUCAUCCUUAUGCCAGUCUUUUUCCCUCAUCUCUCACUCAAAAACAAAAGAAAAGCAGCAGCAGCGACUAUACAUUGGUUUUUGCUCUGCAUUUUCUACUCUAGUUUCUCUUUAUGGGUAUAUAUACUAACAUGGCAUCCCUUCUCUGCAGCUAAGAGCACCCGAAAAGCGUGUUAGCCUGGUGACAAAUGCCCCAGGUUUUGCCCUGAUCACAUAUUUGUUUGAGAAAUCAAAAUUAGGGUCUCCAGAUUCAACGAAGAAGGCCCCAUUCAUCAUCAGAUCCCCCUGUGAUCUCCACGUCCAACUCUUCCACACACUCUCAGUUAAUGUCAGGAGGAGCGAUGAAUCGGUUACCCUGGCUGAGUAUGGUAGGAUGGUGGCUACCCCCUAUGGCGUACAUCAGCCAAUGUGUGUAGUCAUUGUUGACAACAUGGAAGAAUCCCCACCGGCAUCUUGGCAUCCUUUGUGUCAACCCCUGGCCGAAGUGGUUGAAAGUAAUUGUUAUUUGCAUGAUUGCAUCACCGGAGUAACCGUCGCUUGCACCAAACAACAUGACCUGUACAAUCAACAUGUUAGUUGAUAUUUCAUAGUCAUUGAAAAUUAGGAUUCAUUAAUUAAUAAUACUACCUCAUUAUGGUGAGUGAAAUGGCAGUUGGAGAUGGUAAUAGCAGUUGAUGCCAUGAUGGCAUCUAUUAGUCCAUCAGCACAAUUCGACAUGGAAAUAUGAUCAAUCCAAAUAUUUGUGGCCCCGAAAAUCGAUAUACCAUCCCCAUCGCUUCUUGUGCGGAAGCCAUAGUGGCUGGCCGAGUCCCGGAUCAGGCCACCAUUGCCGACCUUAAUAUCAUGAAUGUGGAGGCCAUGGAUGAUGAUAUUAUGCACAAACUGCAGAGUCAAGCCAGCACCAUUGGCAAUGUGCACAUUGGCUCCACGGGCAUCAAUGGUUUUAUUACUGGUCAUGAUCAGCUCCUCAUUUAGCCUGAUUGCCAUGCUAUGGGCAAAUAUGAUCCAAAGUGGCUCCUCCUGGAUCGCGGCAUGACGUAAAGUCCCGGGCUUGGGGUUCACCAUGUCAUUGUCAGACGGAUCCGUCACCACAUAAAUUUUGCCACCUUUGCCUCCAGUUGUCUUCUGCCCAAACCCAAGCACACAAUCAGCUAGUUUCAUGCGGUUGCUAGCCCAGUCACUUCGGCAUCUCCAGCACCUGUCGAUUGGGUUGGUAGCCAUGCAUAGUCCUGAAAAUUUACUCAAAUUCCUCCUUGUGUGGUUUGUACUAUCAAAGCUCCUGUCCCAUAAAAUGUUACGUUUUUGUACCAAGUCACAGCCCCAUUGUGAUCAAAUAUUGGUUAAUAAUGCUCAAAACCUGAAAUAUGCAUAUGAUGUAAUUGAGUUAAUGCUUUAGCAAAUGGACUUACUUGUGGA
This is an RNA transcript of Vitis vinifera (wine grape), 3916 nucleotides long. It is a transcript of the gene named isochorismate synthase 2, chloroplastic, with no coding region annotated. Lineage: Eukaryota; Viridiplantae; Streptophyta; Magnoliopsida; Vitales; Vitaceae. The transcript has 17 exons. The record is from RefSeq and is a predicted model, not a curated record.